RNAcentral lists this ribosomal RNA (424 nucleotides) under uncultured bacterium. Its description in RNAcentral is "bacterial SSU rRNA". It matches the Rfam family "Bacterial small subunit ribosomal RNA", at positions 355 to 771 of the family's 1533-position model. The record is from RNAcentral.
UAGGGAAUCUUCCACAAUGGACGAAAGUCUGAUGGAGCAACGCCGCGUGAGCGAUGAAGGCCUUCGGGUCGUAAAGCUCUGUUGUUAGGGAAGAACAAGUGCGAGAGUAACUGCUCGCACCUUGACGGUACCUAACCAGAAAGCCACGGCUAACUACGUGCCAGCAGCCGCGGUAAUACGUAGGUGGCAAGCGUUGUCCGGAAUUAUUGGGCGUAAAGCGCGCGCAGGUGGUCCUUUAAGUCUGAUGUGAAAGCCCACGGCUCAACCGUGGAGGGUCAUUGGAAACUGGGGGACUUGAGUGCAGAAGAGGAAAGUGGAAUUCCAAGUGUAGCGGUGAAAUGCGUAGAGAUUUGGAGGAACACCAGUGGCGAAGGCGACUUUCUGGUCUGUAACUGACACUGAGGCGCGAAAGCGUGGGGAGCAA